Anolis carolinensis (green anole) is the source of this 11150-nucleotide long non-coding RNA. RefSeq lists it as uncharacterized. The transcript is spliced from 3 exons. The record is from RefSeq and is a predicted model, not a curated record. NCBI's taxonomy places the organism in Eukaryota, Metazoa, Chordata, Lepidosauria, Squamata, Anolidae.
AAAAUUCAAGUAGUGUUCUUUAAAAUAACAUGUUUGCUUUACUCACAACUUCAUGCAUUUAAAAAUACAGGCACGUUUCUUGUCAGUUUAAACUUUAAAACAUUUCGGUUUGUGUUUUUAACUUCCAGCCUUUAUCAGUCUCUUCAACACUAUACAGCUCUGUACAACUGUCUUCCAUAACUGUCUACUGUCAUCUUCAACGGUCAUUCCCUCAAUUGUCACCUUUCAAACUGUGUUCUAAACAAUCACUGAUCUGGUUACAUGGUCUGCAGCCCCUUCCACUGCCUCAAGAACAUAGAGUUAGGGAAAACUGCAUAGCAAGGAACACACAUACACUUCAGUAAAAAAAACAUGAUAUACAGACAAAUCAUUAAACAGAGGAGGCUUGAGAAAGUUGCCUAUUUCCAACACUUUAUCCAGUCACUGUCGGUGUAGAGGUGGAUGAUCCCUUCUCUUUUGAGAUCUACAGCCAGCAGCUGAUUCUAUUUCCAGGGGCCUUACAGCUUCUCAGCUGCUCCUUCCUGGAUUUGUUUUCAGAGUGCUCAUGGCCCUCCAGUUCCUGCUGCUGGUAAGUAACCCAAAAAGUGGGCCUCCAGCCUCACCAUUUUGGCCUGCUUCUCUUCCAGGAGGGCUCUGAUCAUCUCAUGAAGUUGCCUGGUCUUUGCCCCUCAUUGACACUACUUGCCAAAUUGGGUGCCAUUAGGUGUUUUCCACAUAUGGUUUUCUCACCCCUGAAAUGGGGGGCCGGGUGAGCAGCUCUGCUUCACUCCAUGGGCAGAGCUCCUUCCUUCUUCUUGCUGUUGCUCCUUCAUUUUUAAGAGAGAAAAAAAAGAAAUUGGGGAAGAUGGUAGGGUCUGGAACAGUUGGAUGGAGACAGAGUUGGGGAAGGAAGAAGGGGGACGAGUGCAGAAAAAUACUGAGAAAAGACAACAAGCAUCUCAAAACACUUCCUUCUCCAACUGUCUCCAACAAUGAGGCCAGUGCUGGCCAAGGCAGGGGCCAUUGUGAGGUGGCAGUGAUGCGCAUCGGGGCUGUUCUGAGGCCAGCAGUCAUCUUGCCUCCUUUGAAUUGCCAUUGCCAGGGUUAGUGAGAAAAGGUGACACCUUCAGCUAUUGGGAUUGUGGACCCAAGGGAAAGGCCCCUCCUCUACCCAAGAGGGGAUCCAAGUCUCCAUACAUAAUGCAUGGAUGUAUCAUAGACGCUUUAUGAGACCCAUAACCAUGAAAUCAUCCUGCCUCUUUUGAACUGCCAUUGCCAGGUGGACGAGUUGGCUGGACAGGGAGAGGAUGGGACCCAGAGGGAAUAAGCGUUAUGGGGAAGAGAGGACCUCUUCGACCAUUGCGACUUGGGCUUCUCCUCUACCCCAAUGGAGACCCAGGUCUCUAUACAUAAUGCAUGGAUGUAUUACAGACGCUUUAUGAGACCCAUAACCCUGAAGUCAUCCUGCCUCUUUUGAACUGCCAUUGCCAGGUAGAGAACUUGGCUCGGCGGGGGGAGAAGGGGACCAAGAGGGAAUGUGUUGUGGGGACCCCUUCAACCAUUGCGACUUGGGCCCCUCCUCUACCCCAGUGGAGAUCCAGGUCUCCAUACAUAAUGCAUGGAUAUCACAGAUGCUUUAUGAGACCCAUAACCCUGAGGGUCAUUUCUCCUUAGUCAUUUUUUGAACACCUGCCAUUCUUUUUCAUCUUUUUCAAGGUACCUGCCUUUCUUCUUGCUAUUUUUGGGGACAUCCCUAAUUCUUCUUCUUCACUUCAGGGGUGCCCUCCAUUGUUCUUUUUUUUUAAAAAAAAUAUUUUUUUAAUUAAUUAAGUCUAUUUAUCCAUUUAUUUUAUUUACUGUAUUUAUAUACCGCCUUUCUCUACCCUGAAGGGGAUUCAAGUUGACUUACAUAUGGCAAUUAUUCAAUGCCUUAAACACAUACAAAACAUUAAGUUUAAAAUAAAUUGAAUUAAAAUAAAUACAUAUUAAGCAUUUAAAAAACAUUACAUUCAAUAUUAAAAUCACACCAUCCAGAAAUCGUAGUCUAAGGCCGUUCCAUAGUCAUUGCAUAUAUUCCAAAUCUAUUGCACUGCACUAUUCUCUGAAAUAUUUCACAUGCCAGUAAGAUAAUGCUCAAGAUCCUGUAAGGUAGACUUCAGCAAUACAUGAAGCGAGAGUUGCCAGAUGUCCAAGCUGGAUUCAGAAAAGGCAGGGGAACAAGAGACCAAAUUGCCAAUAUCCUCUGAAUAAUGGAUAUUAUUGCACCUGUUGCUUGAACAAUUUAUAAUCUCUAUGGGUCUCCUCAGACAUGUCUAAAAGUUUCCCGCUAAUUUGAAGUCUCAAAUAAAUCAUCCACUUCUCCUCACUAACUUCGAAAUCCUUACAGCACCUUUCAAAUGAAAUUAAAAACUUUUCCACAUCAUCGUCCUUAUUAUACCUAGGGAAUCUCUUCAGAAUCAUGUCUGAUGCCUCAGCUCUAGAGUCCCCUUCCUGGGUAUGGAUAUGUGGUUGAGAUAGUGUUAACCUCUGUUUUUCUACCUCUAUCUCCAUUCUUCUUAGUUCCACCUCUCUAUCUUUUUCCACCUUCCUCAGUUCUCUUUCUUUUUCUUCAGCCUGAAAUUUUCUUUCUCUUUCUCUAUCCUCCAUUUCUAACUUUCUCAUCUCCAGUCUAUAUUUAAGAGUCAUUUCUGACACCAAUGUUUGUUCAGAAUCUGAACUCUCUUCCAGAUAUGCACCUGCUUCUUCAGCAACUUUUUUCUGUCGUCUAGUGGCCAUUUCUGUCAAACUUUACCUCACGAUUUUCUUCUCUAAGCGAUCUUAAGGCACUAAACUUAGGUGUUACACGGAAUCCCGACGCUGCCACCAAUUGUAAUAGAUGAGCAGGGAUGGUGAUGUGACAGGGAGGAAUCCUUUUGAUCCCACCGCUGCCACCAAAUUGGAAUGAUGAUGUGAAAGCCAAUUGUAAAUGCUGUUUUCACUGCUGAGGGGAUUUUUGAAUCUUUUAAUCCCUCUAGAUUAUAUAUAUAUCACCUUUAUAUGAGGGGAAGGAUUACAGGGGGUGAUCUUUAUUUCAAGAUCCCAGCCUCUGUCUCGGUAGUUAGGGAUUUCUGUGUUGUGGUUCCCUUUCUGAGGUAACUGCGACUAUUAUUCUUCCCCAAUUAGGUGAUUUAUUAAGGUAACUGCCACCAACGUGAGGCUUUUGAAUUAUCACUGAUGAAAUUUGUGAUAGCUUUUAAUUUGAUCUAAUACCGAUCAAAUCUCUGAUCACUAGUCUUUUCUCAACUAGAGAUCUUAACUAGGCUCCCUUUAGUCUGCCCUGACUAAAGAUUUUUUGGCCAGGCCUGUCUCCUCAGCCCUUCUUGACUGAAAAGCCUCCAGCCACGCACACACACACUCUCACUCACUCACUUUUUUUAAAACUGCCCUUUUUUCUUUUUCUUGGCUCCGCCCACUUCUCCCUCUGAUGAGCUAGCCAGCUUCGUCUCCUUGGUAACCGCACUACUGUGGAUUGAAACAAGAUGGCUUCUGUUUCAGCUACUGUGUCAACUGAACACAAAUACAUUCUCCAACAAUCAAAAUUAAAACAAUAACUAUGACUUCUCCACAUAAGUAAAUAAGAGAAAAUAAGUAAAUCUUCAUGGCAUAGCCUUGCUUAGUUUUAAAUGGUGUAGCUGAUAAGAAAAGCCAAAAGGAUUACCUCACUGCCUCUAGUUUUAAAAGCUUUUGUUUUUGCCUUGUAUCUUCCCCUUUCAUGAUGUAUGUUGUUUGUUCAAACAUAUAAAAGGGAUGGGAGGCAAAGGAGGAUGGGCCAGUCAGUUUAGAGACGGUCACCUUUGUCUGGCCAGGACAAAUAAAAGCUUGUUUUUCCUUUUUUUUUUUUUUUUUACUCUCCUUGGAAUUCUCUUUUUUCCUCUCUCUCUUCUAAAGCGCUAAAAAAGACCCAGGGGUCAAGUCCCUUACAAUACCACUCUGAUAGCUGAAAGUGAGGAGGAGCUGAAGAGCUGCAUCAAGGUGAAAGAAGAAAGUGCAAAAGCUGGGUUGCAGUUAAACAUCAAGAAAACCAAGAUGAUGGCAACCAGACUGAUUGAUAACUGGCAAAUAGAGGGAGAAAACAUGGAGACAGUUACAGACUUCAUAUUUCUAGGAGCGAAGAUCACUGCAGAUGCAGACUGCAGCCAGGGAGGAAGAAGACAUUUACUUCUUGGGAGGAAAGCAAUGACCAACCUUGAUAAAAUAGUGAAGAGCAGAGACAUCACACUGGCAACGAAGGUCCGCAUAGUUAAAGCAAUGGUAUUCCCCGUAGUAACCUAUGGAUGCAAGAGGUGAACCAUAAGGAAGGCUGAGCGAAGAAAGAUAGAUGCUUUUGAAUUGUGGUGCUGGAGGAAAAUUCUGAGCGUGCUUUGGACUGCAAGAAGAUCCAACCAGUCAAUCCUCCAGGAAAUAAUGCCCGGCUGCUCGCUGGAGGGAAGGAUAUUAGAGGCAAAGCUGAAGUAUUUUGGCCACAUCAUGAGGAGACAGGAAAGCUUGGAAAAGAUCAUGAUGCUGAGGAAAAUGGAAGGAAAAAGGAAGAGAGGCCAACCAAGGGCGAGAUGGUUGGAUGGUAUCCUUGAAGUGACUGGCUUGACCUUGAAGGAACUGGGGGCGGCGACGGCCGACAGGAAGCUUUGGUGUGUGCUGGUCCAUGAGGUCACGAAGAGUCGGAAGCAACUGAAAGAAUAAACAACAACAAAAUUCUCUGAAAGCCUGAUUCCAGAGCCAGGUUUUUACUUUCCUUCUGAAGGCUAGGAGGGAGGGAGCUGAUCUAAUAUCACUAGGGAGGGAGUUCCACAGCUGAGGAACCACUGCUGAGAAGGAUUUUUACAAUAUUUUAAAAAGAGAAAGUUGGAUAUAGGGGGCCAUGGGGAUAGGGAAACUAAUGCAGGUGAACAGGCAAUAGAAUAUCCUUAAAAAAGGAAAUAGAAGAAAAAAUAUAAUGCUGCAGCGUUAUACACUCAAAUUUCUAAGGGGCUGGGGAAGGAAAGAAUAUAGAAGAAAAAUUGAUGUCCCAUCUUCUCCACCAUGGUCUACAUUGUCCUUUAUUGAUUCUCUCCCCUUGUUGGUAUUUCUAAUUGGUAACAUUUUUUCUCUUUGUUUUCAAUAUGAUUCUAUUAUCAAAUUUACUUUAUCUUGUAUCAUAUAGUCUCUUAUUACUGUCCAAUCCGUUGUUUUCUUUCAAAUAAUAAAAAUAAGUAAAUUAUAAUUUUUGGUUUCAUAUUUUUCCCACUCUUCUAAUUUGACUGUAUGUCCAAUAUUGGCAGUCCAUUUGAUCAUGCACUGCGUGCCCUCCACUCUUCUUGUCCAUUUCAAGGGCACCCCUAGUUAUCUUCUUUGUGUCAGGAGCACUCUACAGUCUUCUUGCUCAUUUCAAAGAUGCCCCCCCCUUCAUUUCAGGAGAACUCUCCAUUCCUCUUGUUCAUUUCUAGGGCCCCCUCUCCAUUCUUCUUCACCUCAGGAGCACCUUUCAUCCCUCUUGUUCAUUCUUCUUGUUGAUGCCAGGGACACCCCUUAUUUUUCUUGUUCACUUCAAGGGCUCUCGGGUCUCAUACAUUUUAUUAUCUCGUGUCUCAUAGAUUUGUGAGUUUAAAAACAAAUACAAUAUUUUUUACACAAAGAAAAAAUUAAAAAGGGGGUAUAUGGGUUGUGGAGCUACGAUUAGUCAAUUAGGAUUAUAUUAUAUCAUUGAGGAAGAGCUUGAUGCUGAAUCUAACCCUCCUGUGUUCAUGUUGAGCCCCUGCCUCAAUCUUAAGAGUCUGCAAUAGAUACCAGAACACUGUCACUUCCCACCUAAUCUAUUUCUAUUCAGAGCAACAUAGACACCUUUCCUAUUGUCCUUGGUCACUUGGGAUCUAUGGAGCUGCUAGAUCAGGCACAGGCAAACUUGGGCUUUCCAGGUGUUUUGGACUUCAAUUCCCACAAUUCCUAACAGCUUCAGUCCCUUUCCUUUUCUCCUCAGCUGCUUAAGCUAGAUCCACAUGUAAAUGUCUUGCCCAACAGCUGUUGGGAGCUGGAAUUGCAAUAUUUCUUUUUCUGACCUUUGUCUAGUUCUGUUUAUCCCGCUGAAGAGGCUCACAAGAGUGGGGCUCCAUCAUUCCACCUUUUCAUUGAGACUUUUGGAGGAAACAUAUAUUAUGCCAUUUAAUCUCUUUGUUUAUAGAGAUGCUGUGAUCAACUUUGUCUCAUUGCCAGCGGCAGAUUUCUACUCAGAGAGAUGAGAGAGAUGUUUGCCCAUCCCUGUUGCGGGAGAUGAAAGGGAAUUUUCAGGGAUGUUUCCAAUGACUAUGGAUUUUUUGCUAAUGCCGCAAGUUAGAAACAUGAAGUACAAACUAACCAAGACACCAAUGCACUGAUUCAGCAUUCCAGAAGCCCUUCCCUCAUUGGCCUCUCUGCCUAUCACUAUAUUCUCUCUUCCUAUCACCCUGAGAAGACAGGAAAGCUUGGAGAAGAUACUGCUGCUGGGGAAAAGGAAGGAAAAAGGAAGAGGGGCCAACCAAGAGCAAGAUGGAUAGAUGGUCUCCUUGAAAUGACUGGCUUGUUCUUGAAGGAGCUGGAGGUGGCGAUGGCCUACAGGGAGCUCUGGCGUGGACUGGUCCAUGAGAUCAUGAAGAGUCGGAAGUGACUGAAUGAAUAAACAACGAAAUCACCCUGCUUGUUAGACUGGUGCUUUUGAAAGACACACCUCUUUCUAUACUAAGUUUCUGAGCACAUGGCAAGGUUCAGAGUCCUCUAUUGUUGUUGUUCUCCUGCAAGAACAGAGACAAGAGGUCAGCUGUGAAUUAUUUAGUUAUAGCUAAGCCCUGUGUUAACUUUCCUGUCUAGAUACAUAUGUAGUUCUUUGAAUAAAGUGUUUUAUAACUUUUAAAGUUUGGCUCUGCUCCUGGUCGAGUUCAAUCGCUCUACUGUUGUAAUUAAUAGCUUUUGAUCUGCUGCUGUUGCUACUACACCAUUUUUAAAUGCUUUUUUUCUAUUUUGGAAAUUACUCCCAACAUCCAUAUCUAGUCUCUACGGGUGUAGAGAAGGUGGAUCCCUUCUCUUUUUGAGAUCUGGUGCCAGCAGCUCCUUCUACCUCCAGGGGCCUUAUAGCUUCUCAGCUGCUCCACCCUGGAUUUGUUUUCAGAGUGCUCAUGGCCCUCCAGUUCCUGCUGCUGGUAAGUAACCCAAAACGUGGGCCUCCGGCCUCACCAUUUUGGCCUGCUUCUCUUCAAGGAGGGCUCUGAUCAUCUCAUGAAGUUGCCUGGUCUUUGCCCCUCAAUGACACUACUUGCCAAAUUGCGUGCCAUUUGGUGUUUUCCACAUAUGGUUUUCUCACCCCCGAAAUGGGGGCAGGAUGAGCAGCUCUGCUUCACUCCAUGGGCAGAGCUUCUUCCGUCUUCUUGCUGUUGCUCCUUCAUUUUUUAGGGGUAAAAAUGAAAUUGGGGAAGAUGGUAGGGUCUGGAACAGUUGGGUGGAGACAGAGUUGGGGAAGGAAGAAGGGGGACGAGUGCAGAAAAAUACUGAGAAAAGACAACAAUCAUCUCAAAACACUUCCUUCUCCAACUGUCUCCAACUAUGAAGGCAGUGCUGGCCAAUGCAAAUAGGCUUGCAGGGGCCAUUGUGAGGUGGCAGUGAUGCGCAUCGGGGCUGUUCUGAGGCCAACAGUCAUCCUGCCUCCUUUGAACUGCCAUUGCUAGGGUUAGGGAGAAAAGAUGACACCUUCAGCUAUUGGGGUUUAGGAUCCGGUGACCCCAGAGGCCACGACAAGCGAAAGGCCCCUCGUCUACCCAAGAGGAGCCAAGUCGCCAUACAAAAUUAAUUGAUGUUUCACAGGCGCUUGUAUGAUGUCAACAGCUGAGACUGAAUCCUAAAAACGUCGCAAUGGGUGGAAGCUCAAUAGGAGCGACGAGAAACUGCAAAUUGCUUCUGGUGUGAGAGAAUAGGCCCUCUGCAAGGACGCUGCCCAGGGGACACCCGGACGUUUGAUGUUUUACCAUCCUUGUGAGAGGCUUCUCUCAUGUCCCCGCAUGGGGAGUUGGAGCUGACAGAAGGAGCUCACCCACACUCCCCGGAUUUGAGCUGCCAACCAGUUGGUCAGCAGUCUUGGCGGCACAAGGGUUUACCAUGAAAAGAUUGCCGUAAAAUGGAUGGACUACAAUGGCAUUGGCAUACCACCUCUACUCUGAGCCAACAGCAACUGUGCGGUUUUGUUUGGUGUGCUUACAUUCAGAAGAUGAAUGCCUAAGAGGUCAACUGUAUCUCUCCAAUACCAUUAUGAGCACAGGGAUCUACUCCGUAUCUCAAUGUCAACAACCAUGUUCACUUAAUGUUGCACAGAGAAAAUUUUAUUUUUGCAACAUCAAGCUUCAACAUUACAUAGUUGCCAAUUUUAGAUGAUUAUAGGAAAGAGUAAACAACUAGAAAACCCUUGUUUAGCAUCUCACCUUUGAUGUUGUAGUGCUUGUAACAAUGUUGUUUUUGUGUCAAUCUGGUAUAUCUCUCUUCUUUCUUCAUCUUCAUAAUAAAGCUGUGUAAUUUAAUGUGAGAAACAUACAAGAACAAGUAACAUUAUCUUAUAUAAGAUAUUUAUGAAGAUUAACAAUUAUAUACACUAUGGGGAAAAAGUGAACAGCUAAUGUUGUAACCCGCCUCAAGCCGUGAGGAUAGGUGGGCAAGAAAUAAAAAUUAUUAUUAUUAUUAUUAUUGGUAAAGGUUUUCCCCUGACAUUAAGUCCAGUCGUGUCCAACUCUGGACGUUGGUACUCAUCUCCAUUUCUAUGCUGAAGAAAUGCUGAAGAGCCGGCGUUGUCAGUAGACACCUCCAAGUUCAUUAUUAUUUUUCUGGGUUAGAUCUGAGGGCCUUGCAUUAAUUGGACAGAACAGUGGUAGUUGAGACCUUGGAUUCAAGAUCCGUUCAUUAUCUCGCUUCAGAAACGAAAACUUGAGAUGUGGUAGAUUUACAUCAUUGAAAUAUCUCUGCUAUGAAGAACACUAUUUCCCCAAUAACAGGAGUUGAACAAACAUAGUGCCAUCACUGCUCCAGGCCAUCACAUUUCAAAUGUGUCCUUUCUCCAAAGAUUUUUUUUCAGAUGUGAGAGGAACCAGACAAAAAUGACAGCACACAGAAACACACUCUCGCUACAAGUAUGUAUACAUGCAAAUUAACUCUUAUCCUUGUAUUAAAUGAAUUAUAAAAGUGACCUCUCUUUACACAAUUUAGUAUGUAAAAGGACAAAACUACCAGGUGUAGUUUCUUACCUCUAGUUUAUUGGGUGUAUACUUCCUUUCUGAAUCCCAGGGAGGUAGCUCUUCAAACAUAACUAUUAAAUGGUCAAUAAAUCUGAAAUGUAAGAUGCUUCAAGUUAUUCAACUUAACACUAGUACUGCAAAAUAGCUGAGUAUCAGCAACUACUACAGUAUACCUGAAUUCCAGAUAGGCUAACAUCUUUGUAAUGUAAGACAGCGUAUUCAUAAAGGGCAUUCAUAAAAAGUAAAGGUAAAGGUUUCCCCUGAUGUUAAGUCCAGUCAUGACCGACUCUGGGGGUUGGUGCUCAUCUCCAUUUCUAAGCCGAAGAGCCGGCGUUGCCCAUAGACAUCUCCAGGUCAUGUGGCUGGCAUGACUGCAUGGAGCACCGUUACCUUCCUGCCGGAGCGGUACCUAUUGAUCUACUCACUCUGGCAUGUUUUCGAAUUGCUAGGUUGACAGAAGCUGGAGCUAACAGCGGCCGCUCACACCGCUCCCGGGAUUUGAACCUGGGACCUUUCAGUCUGCAAGUUCAGCAGAGUGCUUUAACACACUUCGCUACCGGGGCAUUCAUAUUAGCUCUUAAAUAUUUUGUAAUAAUUUGACACAUUUGGGGGGAAAGCAUAAAUGACCUUACUUUUAAUCUUAGACAGAAAUGUACUCAUAUUCCAAGAGUCAAUUUGGUUUAUAGCCCUGCUGGAAAAACUGCAAUGAGUUAUGCUUGCUACACUUGUUGGGAUUUGUAGUCCAAUUUCUAGAGGACCUGCACUUUUAUCCACCGUUAUUUAACAAAAUCCCUCCUUUUUGCCUAAAGAGGUCUCUCCUUGGAAACAGCUUUGUUAAGAUGGGGGAACGGUAUACUAGUGUUACUUUGAGAGGAGAAAAAAGUGUUUGGAAGACUAUAGAUCCACAACCAUUUCUUCAAGACUUCAACCAUUCCUGAUUUCCUCCAGAAUGUGGGGUAACUAGUCCAGCCUUGGAGCUGACACAGUUCUUAUUAGUUCUUUUCCUAGGGAAAGGAAAAUUUGAAGAAACAGGGUGAAAUUCUUACAAAAAAUCCACUCCUUCCAUGAAAAAUGUUUGCUGCUUCCACUAGGGAAGGCUUUCAAAUUGGCAAACAUUCCAACAGAACCUCACUAAAAUGAUUAAUACAAUAUGACCCCCACAUCCAUAGGGGAUACAUUCCUGGAUUUACCAUGGAAAUUCAAAAAUGUGGAUAAUGGGGAAUCCUGCUGAAAAGAACCACUCCAGUGGAAGAAUACUACAGAAUUGCACUGGAGGAACUAGAAAAUAUAGAGAGAGAACACAUCUCCAGCAUUUCUAAGUUCUCCUGCCUGACUCUAUGGUCAUAUUCUGGUGGGAGCACGCCACAGAAUCAAUGCUUAGAGAAGCUUUUCUUUUUUGGAAAUGGGUAAGUGAAUCUAUAGGUACCAAACCCAAAGAUAUGAGGGUUGCUCUGUCCCAUAGAAUGACAACUAUCUGUAGGAUACCUCCUAAAGGACCACUCUGUGAAAGUGUAGUGCAUGAUAGGGCAGUAAGCAUGAUCUCACUUGCUAAGCACAUGCAAAGUAACUUCUUAAAAGUCCUACUAAAAUACUGAAAACGUAACUAAUUAAUCAUGUGAGUGGGGCCUGCAGCCUCCCUCCUUUCAAGUGAUCUUAUUCUGUGUAUAUACUAAGUUUUACAAAUAUUAACCUGGAUUCUUCACGAAAAGCAGAGAUGAAGUCACUUUGCCCAUGCUCUGGAUACAGGAACAACACUGGCCAAGUAAGACUGCCAUCCUCUUCUAGGUGGACUUUGGCACCAAUUGUGCUUUCUGAACUAAGUCCAUCUAAAGACAUCUCAGCAAAGCCUGAGAAUGUCUCAGUUUCAUCUUCAGAUGAUGCCACAGACAAUUUGAUAUUACGAUCCUACAUUGG